This 484-nucleotide ribosomal RNA is filed under the name uncultured bacterium. Its description in RNAcentral is "partial 16S ribosomal RNA". It matches the Rfam family "Bacterial small subunit ribosomal RNA", at positions 30 to 507 of the family's 1533-position model. The record is from RNAcentral.
AUUGAACGCUGGCGGCAGGCCUAACACAUGCAAGUCGAGCGGAUGAAGGGGGCUUGCUCCUGGAUUCAGCGGCGGACGGGUGAGUAAUGCCUAGGAAUCUGCCUGGUAGUGGGGGAUAACGUCCGGAAACGGGCGCUAAUACCGCAUACGUCCUGAGGGAGAAAGUGGGGGAUCUUCGGACCUCACGCUAUCAGAUGAGCCUAGGUCGGAUUAGCUAGUUGGUGGGGUAAAGGCCUACCAAGGCGACGAUCCGUAACUGGUCUGAGAGGAUGAUCAGUCACACUGGAACUGAGACACGGUCCAGACUCCUACGGGAGGCAGCAGUGGGGAAUAUUGGACAAUGGGCGAAAGCCUGAUACAGCCAUGCCGCGUGUGUGAAGAAGGUCUUCGGAUUGUAAAGCACUUUAAGGUGGGAGGAAGGGCAGUAAGUUAAUACCUUGCUGUUUUGACGUUACCAACAGAAUAAGCACCGGCUAACUUCGUG